This 582-nucleotide long non-coding RNA is filed under the name Phasianus colchicus (ring-necked pheasant). RNAcentral describes it as "lncRNA (ENSPCLG00000008013.1)". The record is from RNAcentral. Lineage: Eukaryota; Metazoa; Chordata; Aves; Galliformes; Phasianidae.
UCCUACCAGGUGCUCAAUCACUAGUUCAAGUUGUGGCUUAGCAUUUCCACUACACCAAUCAAAACUAGUGAAGAGAAAAAAAAUCAGUAACUCAAAAAUCUGGGAACAAAUUUGACUUAUCUACGUGCCUCAGUCAUAAACCAAGGUAUUGGGAUUAUAUGCAGCACUAAGGAAAUACAGAAGAGAAUUCUUCAUAUACCAAAGACAAGACAAUUUUCAGCAAGAGGUUGUCCUUCUUCAGGUCAUACAAUACAUGGUACCAUGGAUAUUUCAUGAUUAUGUCAAAGCCAGUUUUGAAAAUAUUUGGAACCAAAGUAAAUGAGGGGCAGAACUAUCUGAAGAUGAUUUGCAGUUUUGGUCGCACAUCAAAAUGGUAGAUCAACAUAGCUCUGCGAGCAAAAAAACCGCCUUGCAAGAAUUCUAAGCAUACAGCAUGAAGAAAGCAACCAUGCUUCUUCUGUGUAUGUAGUUUAUGGCCAAUCAUCUGCAUUGCCUUAGAAACUGAGCAAUGCUUUGAGCCAAAAGUGUGACUCUAUGCUUUUGGUAAAUAAACAUUUGUUGCACUGGGUAAAAAUAGAAGAU